This 877-nucleotide ribosomal RNA is filed under the name uncultured Planctomycetota bacterium. Its description in RNAcentral is "bacterial SSU rRNA". It matches the Rfam family "Bacterial small subunit ribosomal RNA", at positions 52 to 946 of the family's 1533-position model. Lineage: Bacteria; Pseudomonadati; Planctomycetota. The record is from RNAcentral.
GGCUGCAGUCGAACGCGAAAGAGGGGGCAACUCCUCGAGUAGAGUGGCGAAAGGGGCAGUAAGGCGUGGGUAACCUACCUCGGGGACUGGGACACACACGUAACAGUGGUAAAUUCCGGGCGAUGUAGCGAAGGCGCAUGUUUUUGCUACGAAAUGAGUUUCGCCUCGAGAGGGGCUCACGUGGUAUUAGCUUGUUGGUGGGGUAACGGCCUACCAAGGCAAAGAUGCCUAGCGGGUGUGAGAGCACGACCCGCGCCACUGGCACUGAGACACUGGCCAGACUCUUACGGGAGGCUGCAGUCGAGGAUCUUCGGCAAUGGGCGCAAGCCUGACCGAGCGACGCCGCGUGCGCGAUGAAGGCCUUCGGGUUGUAAAGCGCUGUCGAGGGGGAGGAAAGCCGCAAGGUCUGACCUAUCCCUGGAGGAAGCACGGGCUAAGUUCGUGCCAGCAGCCGCGGUAAGACGAACCGUGCGAACGUUGUUCGGAAUCACUGGGCUUAAAGGGCGCGUAGGCGGCUUGCCAAGUCCGGGGUGAAAUCUUUCGGCUUAACCGGAAAAGUGCCUUGGAUACUGGCAAGCUCGAGGGAGGUAGGGGCAUGUGGAACUUCCGGUGGAGCGGUGAAAUGCGUUGAUAUCGGAAGGAACGCCGGUGGCGAAAGCGACGUGCUGGAUCUCUUCUGACGCUGAGGCGCGAAAGCUAGGGGAGCGAACGGGAUUAGAUACCCCGGUAGUCCUAGCCCUAAACGAUGGGUACUAGUGUGGACUUGACAUGGGUUCACAGCCGAAGCAAAAGUGAUAAGUACCCCGCCGGGGAGUAUGGUCGCAAGGCUGAAACUCAAGGAAUUGACGGGGGCUCACACAGCGGUGGACAUGUGCUU